AUGGCCGGGCAAGUUCAAGCCAGAUCUGCCUCCUCGCUACGACGGCACCCCCGACCGCGCGGAGUUCCUGCAGCUCUACGAGCUAAGCACCGAGGCGGCAACGGCGACGAAAAAGUCAUGGCGAACUGGUUCCCCAUGGCUCUCAAGGAUGGCGCUCGUUCGUGGCUCCUGAACCUGCCUCCAGGCUCCAUCUCCUCCUGGAACGAGAUGUGCGACCGCUUCGUUGCCAACUUCCAGGGCACUCGCGACCGCCCUCCGGCCGCGGGUGACCUGCGUCGCGUCAAGCAGCAGCCAGGAGAGACCCUCCAGAAGUACAUCCAACGCUUCAACAACGUUCGCCUCAAGAUCCCCAAGGUGACGGACGAGGCCAUCAUCUCUGCGUUUUCUGACGGCGUCCACGACGUCAAGAUGAAGGAGGAGCUCGCCAUCCACGAGGAGCCGUGCACGUCCUUGGAGUUGUUCAAUCUGGCGACCAAGUGCGCAAGGGCUGAGGAAGGGCGCCUUUCCCUCCUCGAGCUCCCAGCUGCCGACCUGGAGGAGAAGAAAGCCAAGGCCAAGAACGUGAAGCGCAAGGGGGUGGCCGUGCUCACGGCGAAGCCAGACACGAAGCGCGGCCGGGACCAGCCCGAGUCAUCCAAGAGCAGCCGACCAUUCUGCGCCUUCCACAACGUUCACAACCACAACACUAAUGACUGUCAAGAGCUCAGGGCCAUUCGAGAUGGACGCCUCGGUCGACGCCCCGAGCGCAACGACCGGGGCUACGGCCGAGGAGGAGGACGUGGCGGAGGACGCUGGGACGACCGUGGCCCUCGCCAGGAGUGGCUAGACCGGCCUCGGGAGGACCGCUGGCAAGAUCAGCCUCGCGAGGGCGCCUGGAGGGAUCAGCCUCGCGAGGACCGCCCUCAGGCCAACGCCGGUCUUCCCCCACUGCCUCCACCGCCGAGAAGGAAUGACGACCACCAUCAAGACGAGGGGGCUGGGGGCUUCCAGGAGCCACGUGCUAUCGCCUGCAUCCUGGGCGGAGCUCAAGCCCCAGCCUCUCAGCGAAUCUUCAAGCAGUUUGCUCGCGAGGUGAACGCAGUCCUCCCCAGGCUCGAGGCCACACGCCCGCUUAGGUGGUCCAAGUGCGCCAUCACCUUCAGUUCAGCAGAUCAGCUCAAGUGCGCGGCCACCGCUGGCGCCCUCCCGAUGCUUUGCUCACCCGUCAUCAGCAACGAACAAGUCACCAAGACCCUCAUCGACGGCGGCAAAGGGCUUAACGUCCUGUCCGUCGAGACAUUCGACAGCCUUCAAGUGCCCUACGAUCAGCUUCAGCCUACCAAGCCCUUUUCAGGAGUGACCGACGGUUCCACCACGCCGAUAGGGCAGGUCCGCCUCCCUGUCACCUUCGGACAGCGCAACAACUACCGCACCGAGCUCAUCGACUUCGACGUCACCCACAUCCGUCUGCCAUACAAUGCCAUCCUCGGGUAUCCGGCCCUGGCCAAGUUCAUGGCGGUGACACACCACGGCUACAACGUCCUCAAGAUGCCAGAAAGCGGCGGGAUCAUCACAGUUCCCUGCGAAGAAAAAGAUGCGGUGUGCUCCCUCGAGCGCGCCUUCCAAGCAGCGUCAAUCGAAGACCCCGACAGCAGUGCAGCACUGUACCCUCCUGAGGUCGUCCCCAAGAAGAAGCAGCAGCUACUCCGCACAGGGCCUCAGGAGAGCGGCGCCGCAAGCGGAGCCAAGUCAGAAUCGGCGCCCGCGUCUGGGGCGCCUCCCUCCCUCGCAUAG
This 1773-nucleotide ribosomal RNA is filed under the name Triticum aestivum (bread wheat). RNAcentral describes it as "partial small subunit ribosomal RNA". Lineage: Eukaryota; Viridiplantae; Streptophyta; Magnoliopsida; Poales; Poaceae. The record is from RNAcentral.